This 68-nucleotide transfer RNA is filed under the name Katharina tunicata (black chiton). Its description in RNAcentral is "tRNA-Arg". The record is from RNAcentral. Lineage: Eukaryota; Metazoa; Mollusca; Polyplacophora; Chitonida; Mopaliidae.
GUCUUAAAAGUGAUUAUUCAUUUUUGGUUUCGGCCCAUUAGGUAGCAGAGAAGUUCUGUUUUAAGACU